This 474-nucleotide ribosomal RNA is filed under the name uncultured bacterium. RNAcentral describes it as "bacterial SSU rRNA". It matches the Rfam family "Bacterial small subunit ribosomal RNA", at positions 335 to 801 of the family's 1533-position model. The record is from RNAcentral.
ACUCCUACGGGAGGCAGCAGUGGGGAAGUCUUCCACAAUGGGCGCAAGCCUGAUGGAGCAACACCGCGUGAGUGAAGAAGGGUUUCGGCUCGUAAAGCUCUGUUGUUAAAGAAGAACACGUAUGAGAGUAACUGUUCAUACGUUGACGGUAUUUAACCAGAAAGUCACGGCUAACUACGUGCCAGCAGCCGCGGUAAUACGUAGGUGGCAAGCGUUAUCCGGAUUUAUUGGGCGUAAAGAGAGUGCAGGCGGUUUUCUAAGUCUGAUGUGAAAGCCUUCGGCUUAACCGGAGAAGUGCAUCGGAAACUGGAUAACUUGAGUGCAGAAGAGGGUAGUGGAACUCCAUGUGUAGCGGUGGAAUGCGUAGAUAUAUGGAAGAACACCAGUGGCGAAGGCGGCUACCUGGUCUGCAACUGACGCUGAGACUCGAAAGCAUGGGUAGCGAACAGGAUUAGAUACCCUGGUAGGAUAGCG